GGGCCCGUAGCUCAGUGGCAGAGCUCCCGGCUCAUAACCGGUUGGUCGCAGGUUCGAAUCCUGCCGGGCCCACCA
RNAcentral lists this transfer RNA (75 nucleotides) under Armatimonadota bacterium. RNAcentral describes it as "Armatimonadetes bacterium tRNA-Ile". It matches the Rfam family "tRNA". Rfam says of the family: Transfer RNA (tRNA) molecules are approximately 80 nucleotides in length. Their secondary structure includes four short double-helical elements and three loops (D, anti-codon, and T loops). Further hydrogen bonds mediate the characteristic L-shaped molecular structure. tRNAs have two regions of fundamental functional importance: the anti-codon, which is responsible for specific mRNA codon recognition, and the 3' end, to which the tRNAs corresponding amino acid is attached (by aminoacyl-tRNA synthetases). tRNAs cope with the degeneracy of the genetic code in two manners: having more than one tRNA (with a specific anti-codon) for a particular amino acid; and 'wobble' base-pairing, i.e. permitting non-standard base-pairing at the 3rd anti-codon position. Lineage: Bacteria; Bacillati; Armatimonadota. The record is from RNAcentral.